This 76-nucleotide transfer RNA is filed under the name Pseudomonadota bacterium. RNAcentral describes it as "tRNA-His". It matches the Rfam family "tRNA". From Rfam's summary of the family: Transfer RNA (tRNA) molecules are approximately 80 nucleotides in length. Their secondary structure includes four short double-helical elements and three loops (D, anti-codon, and T loops). Further hydrogen bonds mediate the characteristic L-shaped molecular structure. tRNAs have two regions of fundamental functional importance: the anti-codon, which is responsible for specific mRNA codon recognition, and the 3' end, to which the tRNAs corresponding amino acid is attached (by aminoacyl-tRNA synthetases). tRNAs cope with the degeneracy of the genetic code in two manners: having more than one tRNA (with a specific anti-codon) for a particular amino acid; and 'wobble' base-pairing, i.e. permitting non-standard base-pairing at the 3rd anti-codon position. RNAcentral also lists the same sequence under 1 other name. The record is from RNAcentral. Lineage: Bacteria; Pseudomonadati; Pseudomonadota.
GUGGCUGUAGCUCAGUUGGUAGAGUGCAGGAUUGUGGCUCCUGUUGUCGUGGGUUCGAUUCCCAUCAGCCACCCCA